Molecule: long non-coding RNA, 312 nt
Filed under: Brassica napus (rape)
Lineage: Eukaryota; Viridiplantae; Streptophyta; Magnoliopsida; Brassicales; Brassicaceae
Description: long non-coding RNA (BNAP_LNC012006)
Source: RNAcentral
UCUUUCCUUGGAUAUUUCUUUUAUAAGAGCCCAUUAGAAGCUUGAGGCCCAUAACUUCUUUCUCUUAUACACCUCCAUUAACCGUGCAAAUCGACGCCGUCAACUUCAACCUAAAUCCCACAGCCUCCCAAAAUACGCCUCUGUAACGUUAAAGAUCAACAUUCAAUCGACGUAAUUGUGAUCACCAUUAACGACAUUUAAACUACACCUUCCAUGACUUCUCAUUCAGUUCUCCUCUCUCUCCACCAUUGUUACUCUCCAAAUCCAAUCUAUAAAUAGCGAUAUCUUAUUUUACUGUUUCACAUCCCUCCU